RNAcentral lists this ribosomal RNA (195 nucleotides) under Triticum aestivum (bread wheat). RNAcentral's name for it is "partial small subunit ribosomal RNA". Lineage: Eukaryota; Viridiplantae; Streptophyta; Magnoliopsida; Poales; Poaceae. The record is from RNAcentral.
AUGGAUGGUCUUCUGCAUUGGGAUUUCUCCCCCGGCCUUGUGGUCGCGGCUCAAGUGCGUUGACGCUUUGGUUCUAUGGUUCACUUCUCCCCCUCUGGUUGUAGCAAGGAAUUCUUUUUGGUGGUUAGAUUUUCUUCGGCCUCCUUUGCUCUUAAUGAAGAAUUUGUUGCAUUGGCUCUGCAAUGCUCCAUUGGA